CCCAGGACGUGUCCUGGGUGACGGUACCGGAGGAAUAAGCACCGGCUAACUUCGUGCCAGCAGCCGCGGUAAUACGAAGGGUGCAAGCGUUAUCCGGAUUCAUUGGGUUUAAGGGUGCGUAGGUGGGGCGUUAAGUCAGUGGUGAAAGCCCGCAGCUCAACUGUGGAAUUGCCAUUGAUACUGGCGCUCUUGAGUGCGCUUGAAGUAGGCGGAAUGUGCCGUGUAGCGGUGAAAUGCUUAGAUAUGGCACAGAACACCAAUUGCGAAGGCAGCUUACUAAGGCGAUACUGACGCUGAGGCACGAAAGCGUGGGGAUCAAACAGGAUUAGAUACCCUGGUAGUCCACGCCGUAAACGAUGAUCACUCGUGAUUGGCGAUAUACGGUCAGUCACCUAGCGAAAGCGUUAAGUGAUCCACCUGGGGGAGUACGAUCGCAAGAUUGAAACUCAAAGGAAUUGACGGGGGC
This 466-nucleotide ribosomal RNA is filed under the name uncultured bacterium. Its description in RNAcentral is "bacterial SSU rRNA". It matches the Rfam family "Bacterial small subunit ribosomal RNA", at positions 451 to 920 of the family's 1533-position model. The record is from RNAcentral.